UACAGAGGUCCCGAGCGUUGUUCGGAUUCAUUGGGCGUAAAGGGUGCGUAGGCGGCGGGUUAGUCUGAUGUUAAAUCCUGGGGCUCAACCCUGGAACUGCAUUGGAUACUUCCUUGCUAGAGUACUGGAGAGGAAACUGGAAUUUACGGUGUAGCAGUGAAAUGCGUAGAGAUCGUAAGGAAGACCAGUGGCGAAGGCGAGUUUCUGGACAGUAACUGACGCUGAGGCACGAAGGCCAGGGGAGCAAACGGG
Molecule: ribosomal RNA, 252 nt
Filed under: uncultured bacterium
Lineage: Bacteria
Description: partial 16S ribosomal RNA
Rfam family: Bacterial small subunit ribosomal RNA
Source: RNAcentral